UACUAACGCUGGCGGCAUGCCUUACACAUGCAAGUCGAACGGCAGCACGGGAGCUUGCUCCUGGUGGCGAGUGGCGAACGGAUGAGUAAUACAUCGGAACGUACCCAGUAGUGGGGGAUAACGCACCGAAAGGUGCGCUAAUACCGCAUACGACCUACGGGUGAAAGCGGGGGACCGUAAGGCCUCGCGCUAUUGGAGCGGCCGAUGUCUGAUUAGCUAGUUGGUGAGGUAAAGGCUCACCAAGGCUUCGAUCAGUAGCUGGUCUGAGAGGACGAUCGGCCACACGGGGACUGGGACACGGCCCGGACUCCUACGGGAGGCAGCAGUGGGGAAUUUUGGACAAGGGGAGAAAGCCUGAUCCAGCAAUGCCGCGUGUGUGAAGAAGGCCUUCGGGUUGUAAAGCACUUUUGUCCGGAAAGAAAUGGCUCUGGUUAAUACCUGGGGUCGAUGACGGUACCGGAAGAAUAAGGACCGGCUAACUACGUGCCAGCAGCCGCCGUAA
This 502-nucleotide ribosomal RNA is filed under the name uncultured bacterium. RNAcentral's name for it is "partial 16S ribosomal RNA". It matches the Rfam family "Bacterial small subunit ribosomal RNA", at positions 29 to 523 of the family's 1533-position model. The record is from RNAcentral.